AAUAAAUUUUUUCGACGGUUAACAAUCAGAAAUUAUUAUUCAAAUAAGUAAGCACGAAUUUUUAAAAAUUAAAUUACAUAAAAUAAUUCCCUUAUAUUGUCAUUAAAUAACUAAAUAUCAUCUGUGAUAUGUCUCUCCUGUAAAAAGACGUUUUCUUUGUCAUCAAACAUGUGUUGAACUGAUGCAUAGAUUGGAGGAAGGCAAUAUCGAGGUCCUAAUGCCAAUUUAUCAACGUAUUUGAAAUACACCUGAAAGAAUAGCCGUAGUUGAAUAUUAUUUGACCCAUAAUAGUCUAGUAAACUAUUUGAGAAACCUACUGUGUCAAAUGAUUAUAAAAUUCAAAUUUGAGGACCAUUUUUCUUCAAAUUUAGUAAACGAUAAUCAGCUAUCAAGAUCCUUUUCUUCGUUCAGGAUUCAAGUUUCCAGAUUUAAGGAGAUAGCUUAUCAAAUAGUCGACUUCUUUCCAUCAGAAAAUGUUUCAUUAUAUUACUCUCCAUUCAACAAAAUCAACGGAAAGUGUGUACCCCCAAAUGGCAAAUUAUUUGACUAAUAUCAUUAUUUUAAAAGUCAUUUGAUCAGUAAUCAUAUCUAAGUGAUGACAUUUUAAUUUAUUUCUAUUUUUGGACGUUUUUAUAAAAAUUUUGAAAUAACUAAUACUAUCCGAAAGUUUGAAUAUAUCAUUGAAUCAAAUUUUGCAAUAUAAAUUUUUACCGCUUUUUUUAUUCGAUUCAGCUAAAAUGUUUUUUUGUCUUCAAUGUAAUGAACACUUUGAAACCACAUCAAGCUAUAUAAGACAUGUCUCUAUUUUUCAUAAAAAUUUAAGUAAAUUUAAAUGUGGUGAGAAGAAAUGUACGAGAAUUUUUUCAUCAUUAAAUUCACUUCGCAAACACACUAAUUUCAAACAUAAUCUUAAUUUUGAGAGGAAUACAGUCUGUAACAAUCAAACAAAAAAGAAAAAAGUUUUUAUUUCUACCUGCCAUAAUUCUAAUAUUUUAAA
This is a long non-coding RNA of Chelonus insularis, 997 nucleotides long. RefSeq lists it as uncharacterized. The transcript has 4 exons. Lineage: Eukaryota; Metazoa; Arthropoda; Insecta; Hymenoptera; Braconidae. The record is from RefSeq and is a predicted model, not a curated record.